This 93-nucleotide ribosomal RNA is filed under the name uncultured bacterium. RNAcentral describes it as "partial 16S ribosomal RNA". It matches the Rfam family "Bacterial small subunit ribosomal RNA", at positions 1390 to 1482 of the family's 1533-position model. The record is from RNAcentral.
CCGCCCGUCACACCAUGAAAGUCGGCUGUACCAGAAGUCGCUGCGCUAGCCGCAAGGGGGCAGGCGCCCAAGGUAUGGUCGAUGAUUGGGGUG